This 420-nucleotide ribosomal RNA is filed under the name uncultured crenarchaeote. RNAcentral's name for it is "bacterial SSU rRNA". It matches the Rfam family "Archaeal small subunit ribosomal RNA", at positions 459 to 879 of the family's 1478-position model. The record is from RNAcentral. Lineage: Archaea; Thermoproteati; Thermoproteota.
CAGCCGCCGCGGUAACACCAGCCCUUCGAGUGGUGGGGACUAUUAUUUGGCCUAAAGCGUCCGUAGCUGGCUGUAUCCGUCUCCCGGUAAAUCCGGCGUCCUAAGCGUCGGUUCUCGGGCGAUACCGUACAGCUAGAGGGUGGGAUAGGUGAGCGGUAUUUCUGGGGUAGGGGCGAAAUCCUUUGAUCCCAGGAGGACCACCAGUGGCGAAGGCUGCUCACUAGAACACGCCUGACGGUCAGGGACGAAAGCUGGGGCAGCGAACCGGAUUAGAUACCCGGGUAGUCCCAGCUGUAAACGAUGCAGACUAGGUGUUGGAACGGCUACGUGCCGCUUCAGUGCCGCAGAGAAGUCAUUAAGUCUGCCGCCUGGGGAGUACGGCCGCAAGGCUGAAACUUAAAGGAAUUGGCGGGGGAGCAC